GAUGAACGCUAGCGGCAGGCCUAACGCAUGCAAGUCAGGGGUAACAUAGAAAAGCUUGCUUUUCUGAUGACGACCGGCGCACGGGUGCGUAACGCGUAUACAACCUACCUUUUAGCGGGGAAUAGCCCAGGGAAACUUGGAUUAAUGCCUCAUAGUAUAUAAGCUUCUCCUGAAGUUUAUAUUAAACAUUUAUGGCUAUUAGAUGGGUAUGCGUCCUAUUAGUUAGUUGGUAAGGUAACGGCUUACCAAGGCAGCGAUAGGUAGGGGUCCUGAGAGGGAGAUCCCCACACUGGUACUGAGACACGGACCAGACUCCUACGGGAGGCAGCAGUGAGGAAUAUUGGACAAUGGGCGAGAGCCUGAUCCAGCCAUGCCGCGUGCAGGAAGACUGCCCUAUGGGUUGUAAACUGCUUUUACAGAGGAAGAACCACCCCCACGUGUGGGGGUUUGACGGUACUCUGCGAAUAAGGAUCGGCUAACUCCGUG
This 486-nucleotide ribosomal RNA is filed under the name uncultured bacterium. Its description in RNAcentral is "bacterial SSU rRNA". It matches the Rfam family "Bacterial small subunit ribosomal RNA", at positions 28 to 507 of the family's 1533-position model. The record is from RNAcentral.